RNAcentral lists this ribosomal RNA (447 nucleotides) under uncultured bacterium. Its description in RNAcentral is "bacterial SSU rRNA". It matches the Rfam family "Bacterial small subunit ribosomal RNA", at positions 355 to 825 of the family's 1533-position model. The record is from RNAcentral.
UCGAGAAUCUUCCGCAAUGGACGAAAGUCUGACGGAGCGACGCCGCGUGUGGGAAGAAGGCCUUCGGGUUGUAAAGCUCUUUUACCAGGGACGAUAAUGACGGUACCUGGAGAAUAAGCCCCGGCAAACUUCGUGCCAGCAGCCGCGGUAAUACGAAGGGGGCUAGCGUUGUUCGGAAUUACUGGGCGUAAAGCGCACGUAGGCGGAUUGUUAAGUCAGAGGUGAAAUCCCGGAGCUCAACUUCGGAACUGCCUUUGAUACUGGCAAUCUCGAGUCCGGAAGAGGUUAGUGGAAUUCCCAGUGUAGAGGUGAAAUUCGUAGAUAUUGGGAAGAACACCAGUGGCGAAGGCGGCUAACUGGUCCGGUACUGACGCUGAGGUGCGAAAGCGUGGGGAGCAAACAGGAUUAGAUACCCACGUAGUCCCUGAGCGGGCUGGCAAGGCGCAU